Molecule: ribosomal RNA, 433 nt
Filed under: Xerosecta explanata
Lineage: Eukaryota; Metazoa; Mollusca; Gastropoda; Stylommatophora; Geomitridae
Description: partial large subunit ribosomal RNA
Rfam family: Archaeal large subunit ribosomal RNA
Source: RNAcentral
GCUAAAUGAUUUUAAUAUUUAGUUACGUCUGCUCAAUGAUAAGUUAAAUAGCCGCAGUACUUUGACUGUGCAAAGGUAGCAUAAUCAUUUGGCUUAUAAUUGAAGUCUGGCAUGAAAGAACCUGUGGGGAACAACUGUCUUUAUCAUUUUAAUAAAAAUUACUUAAUAGGUGAAAAUACCUAUAGCCACAGAAUAGACGAGAAGACCCUAGAAAUUUUAUAUAAAAGGGAAAUACCUUAUUAUUUUGUUGGGGCGACAGAAUAACAAAUAACUUGUUUUGGUGUAUAAGAAUUAUGUAGUAAGUAAAAAUAAAUUACUCUAGGGAUAACAGCAUAAUUUAUAAAAGUUUGUGACCUCGAUGUUGGACUAGGGUACUUAAUAGUCAAAAGCUAUUAAGGUAGGCUCUGUUCGAGCUAGUAUCCCUACAUGAUCA